This 453-nucleotide ribosomal RNA is filed under the name Entamoeba bovis. RNAcentral describes it as "SSU rRNA". It matches the Rfam family "Eukaryotic small subunit ribosomal RNA", at positions 37 to 491 of the family's 1831-position model. Lineage: Eukaryota; Evosea; Mastigamoebida; Endamoebidae. The record is from RNAcentral.
UUAAAAAUAAAGCCUUGCAUGUGUAAGUUUAAAGACCUAGUAAGAUGAAACUGCGGACCGGCUCAUUAUAACAAGUAAUAGUUUCUUUGGUUAGUAGGUACAAGGAUAACUUUGUGAAUGAUAAAGCUAAUACUUGAGACGAUCUGGGGAGUACUUGUACUUUCCGGCCGGUGGUCGCGAGGCUGCCGAGAAAUGACAUUCUCUUGUGAAAAAGGAUGCCACGACAAUUGAGGAAAGCGACGCUUUUUACAAGUAACCAAUGGGAAUUUCUGAUCUAUCAAUUUGUUGGUAGUAUCGAGGACUACCAAGAUUAUAACGGAUAACGAGGAAUUGGAGGUUCGACAUCGGAGAGGGAGCUUUACAGAUGGCUACCACUUCUAAGGAAGGCAGCAGGCGCGUAAAUUACCCACUUUCGACAUGAAGAGGUAGUGACGACAAAUAACUCUUGGGGCU